AUUGAACGCUGGCGGUAUGCUUAACACAUGCAAGUCGAACGGUAACAGGCCUUCGGGCGCUGACGAGUGGCGGACGGGUGAGUAACGCGUAGGAAUCUGCCUCAUAGUGGGGGACAACGUGGGGAAACUCACGCUAAUACCGCAUACGCCCUACGGGGAAAGCGGGGAUCUUCGGACCUCGCGCUAUGAGAUGAGCCUGCGUUAGAUUAGCUAGUUGGUAGGGUAAAGGCCUACCAAGGCGACGAUCUAUAGCUGGUCUGAGAGGACGAUCAGCCACACUGGGACUGAGACACGGCCCAGACUCCUACGGGAGGCAGCAGUGGGGAAUAUUGGACAAUGGGCGCAAGCCUGAUCCAGCAAUACCGCGUGUGUGAAGAAGGCCCUAGGGUUGUAAAGCACUUUCAAUUGGGAGGAAAACCGUGCCGGUCAAUACCCGGCAGCUUGACAUUACCUUUAGAAGAAGCACCGGCUAACUCCGUGCCAGCAGCCGCGGUAAU
This 497-nucleotide ribosomal RNA is filed under the name uncultured bacterium. RNAcentral's name for it is "bacterial SSU rRNA". It matches the Rfam family "Bacterial small subunit ribosomal RNA", at positions 30 to 524 of the family's 1533-position model. The record is from RNAcentral.